Molecule: long non-coding RNA, 2305 nt
Filed under: Eucalyptus grandis
Lineage: Eukaryota; Viridiplantae; Streptophyta; Magnoliopsida; Myrtales; Myrtaceae
Description: long non-coding RNA (EGRA_LNC004169)
Source: RNAcentral
UUCAGCCGCCCGUCUCCUUCGCGCCUCGCCAUCCCCGCCGUGCACCGUCCAGGCCGUUCGGCCUCUGUUCAGCUCAGUUCAGCCCCCGUCCGGCCACCUCCGGCCGUCGUUUGAAGCCGCCGGACCUCCACCGACCCUCCUCGGAGCACCGCCCGCUCUCCCGAACCCUUCUCCGCCCCUAACCAUCUCUGUUUUCCCCUGUUUUGCAGCCAACCAGCAACCCACGAAAUGGGUUUCCAGCUGGUUUGGGCCCGUUUUGGGCCAUUUCCCGGCCCCGGAUCCUCGAGUCGCUUUGGGAAGAAUCGUUCCUCGCGUCGCCGCCGUCGGAUUGAUCCGAUUUGCGCGCGAUUUGGUGAGUAAUCUCACUAAUCUUAGAUUAGUUGGCUAAUUAUGCUUAAGGUUGGUUUAGAUUUAAUUAAUUAUGUUUAGGUUGUUAGAUUAGAAUUAAUUAGCAAUUAUUAGUUAAUUGUGAUGUGAUUUAGAUAAAUUGAUUGUGCAAUUAGCAAGUAGACGUGGUCUACUAAUUAUUGGAAGUGCUUCAGGAAUUUUCCCGACCCUUAGUGGGCUCCAAUUAGGCUUUUCGGGCCUAAGUGGAUUUUUUUGUAUUUAAAUAUUAAUUUUCGGAAUUAAAUUAAAUAAUUAUUUAUUUUCCGAAAAUUCAAGGGAGAUGGCCCGGGACCGGAAAAUUGUGCUGAUGACUAUGGUGAAGUCCAUUUAUCUAAUCGGGCUUUAAUUUGAGUUAAAUGGGAUUUUUAAUGUUAAUUAUUUAAUAUUCGAAAUUAAUUAAAUAAUUAUUUAUUUUCUGAAAAUUCAACUGAGAUGGUCUGGAACCGGAAAAUUAUGCUGAUGACCGUGGUGAAGUCCGUUUAUGUAAUCGGGCUUUAUUUUGAGCUAAAUUGAAUUUUUUAUAAUAAUUAUUUAAUUUUCGAAAUUAAUAAAUAAAUUAAUUAUUUUUCGGAAAUUAAGAUUUUGAUGGCCGACGACCGAAAUCUCGUGCUGAUCGUCGUGGUGCAGUCCGUUUAUUUAUUUGAGAUCCACGUUGUAUGGAAUUGAGUAAAUUGUGAUAUUUUAGGGAUUUACCCUAAAUUGAUUGGAAUCGAUUGAGAUUGAAUUAUCGAUUGGUGAAUGGCCAAGUAUGUUUAUUCAGCAUUUAUAAUGUUUUGUUGAGUUGAUUUAUUUAUUUGAUUGAGAAAUCGUUGGGCAUUGGUUGUCGGUAUUGAAAGUAAAUUGGUAACCACUGCAAAGAGGACACGUGGCUCGGUGAAUUGGAAUGUCACCUGGAAAAUACACGUGAGUUCAGUGGUUGAAUAUGUCACCUUGGCGAAAAGGUCGCCUGAGAGAAUGCACGUGGCUCGGAGACUCGGUAUGUCGUCCUGGAGAAUGCACGUGGCUCGGUGACAGGAUUUGGCAUCUAAAAGGACACGUGGCUCGGUGAUCUGAUGCGUCACUUUGGUAAGCGAGUACCUUAGAGAAUGCACGUGGGUCCAGCAUUCCGGAAUGGCAUCUAAAAGGGCACGUGGCUCGGUGAAUUGAUGCAUCACCUUGGUGAGAUAGCACCUUAGAGAAUGCACGUGGGCCCGGGCAUCGUAAAAAGGACACGUGGCUCGGUGGCUUGAUGUACCACCUUGGCAAAGAGGUCGCCUUAGAGAAUGCACGUGGGUCCGAGGUUUGAGGCACGUGGACUCGGAGACUUGGAAGGUCAUCCUGGAGAAUGCACGUGGCCUAGCUUUUAAAUAUCCCACAGUGGGGAUUGAUUUGUUUGGCAUGUAAUCGACUAGGUCGAUGCUUUGAUUUGAUGUGGUGAAUUGAUUGCCUGAAUGGAAAUGACCGUGAGUGGUUUUGUUGGAAUAUAAUCGAUUAGGUCGAUUUGAUCGAUGCUUCGAUCGGUGAUAUGAUUGCUUGGGUGCCUAUUAUGAAUUGUACUGACUUGCAGGUGGGAUCAGAGGCCAAGGUAAGUCCUCUGCCCUGUGCGUGUUUAGGCAGCCUGUAGUAUAAUAGUUUAUCUAAUCGGGCUUAGUGGGGUAGAACUCGUUGAGACGUAGUCUCAUCCCAGUUUGGGGAAAACCAUUUCAGGACCCCGCUGAAGAGCUGAGAAGGAGGAAUCCGAGAAGGAAGACUCGGAGGCGAAUCUUAAGGAAAAAGAUUUUGGAGGAAGAAGGCAAUCCUGAGAGGGGCCUUGAGUACGGCCUAGUUCGUCUAAGUUUAUGUCUUCUUUUGAAAUCUCCGUUUUGAUGUGAAUAGUUAUGAAAGGGUUUGUGGUUUGUAUAAAAGUGUGGUUAUAAAUUUCAAUAUGAAAAAUAUGGCC